GACGAACCGUGCGAACGUUAUUCGGAAUCACUGGGCUUAAAGGGUGCGUAGGCGGGCUCGCCAGUCAGGGGUGAAAUCCCACGGCCCAACCGUGGAAGUGCCUCUGAUACUGCGGGCCUCGAGGGGGAUAGGGGCGUGCGGAACUUCCGGUGGAGCGGUGAAAUGCGUAGAUAUCGGAAGGAACACCGGUGGCGAAAGCGGCGCGCUGGAUCCCUACUGACGCCGAGGCACGAAAGCCAGGGGAGCAAACGGG
RNAcentral lists this ribosomal RNA (253 nucleotides) under uncultured bacterium. RNAcentral's name for it is "partial 16S ribosomal RNA". It matches the Rfam family "Bacterial small subunit ribosomal RNA", at positions 524 to 776 of the family's 1533-position model. The record is from RNAcentral.